AAAGAAAAAGGGAAUGAAGUUCUCCCUCGAAGAGAUUCGAAACCGCUUAUUAAGCUGAUGACUUCUGUGUAAUG
This 74-nucleotide non-coding RNA is filed under the name unclassified sequences. The record is from Rfam.